UAGGGAAAAUUGGGCAAUGGGCGAAAGCCUGACCCAGCAACGCCGCGUGCACGAUGAAGGUCUUCGGAUCGUAAAAUGCUUUUCUCAGGGAUGAUACCAGACAGUACCUGAGGAAUAAGUCUCGGCUAACUACGUGCCAGCAGCCGCGGUAAUAA
Molecule: ribosomal RNA, 155 nt
Filed under: uncultured bacterium
Lineage: Bacteria
Description: partial 16S ribosomal RNA
Rfam family: Bacterial small subunit ribosomal RNA
Source: RNAcentral